CUCUGCAGGAUAGUGGCCCUCCAGGACCGGAGUUGCCUAUCCCUGCCAUAAAAGAACACUGUUGGAAAAACAAUAGAAUAGAACUCAACAUAAUUCAAAAGAACAAAACAGACAAGAAUGGAAUUCAACUCCCCACAAUAGAAUAGGUUAGAACACACUAUAAAAAAACAGCAGAUCCACCCUGUAUUAAAUGAAUGACACACACAGCGAGUCAGGCGAUGUAUAACACAGAAUGCAUUAAGAGAUGAAGAUAUCAGGUCAGGGACACGCAGGGAGUUGAAUUUGAUCUUCUGUUCCAUGAUCUACCAGGCAUGUCUUUUUGCUCACCCCUCCCCUCCUCGUGCUACUAGCACACUGGCUGUCAGCUGCCGGUCUCAUGACCAGAACGGCACGCACUGAGCAUGCCCGGCCUGUCAAGUGUUGUCAGGGAGAAAGAAGACAGUGGAGACAGAGAGAAAAGCAACCCAUGAGAGGAGCCAGAUGAGAAACAGGGAUGGCUAGACAAUAUGGAUGCACGUUUCUAAUUAAGAUUCUUUGUGUCAGCUGACUCACUCAAGAGGUUAUCAUGGAGACGACUUUGCGAAUAGACUCCAGGAAAUGAGCGCAACCCUUCUGUCAGCUUUGUUCAACCUGUGAUGACUUCCCAAACCAGCCUAGCCUAACCACACUUAGCUUGAAUGGAUCAAUGUGGCAGAGGAAACUCACUAGAGCAGCAACUAUGAACAGUUUGUAAUAACUUCCAAAGAUCUACAGAAACAUGGAAAUAUUUGGGUUUGCACGAUUUCUGAUCUGGUCUGCACAUGCUUCUUUUUUGUGUACAAGGAUGGCCAGGUAGGAGAUGCUAACAUCAACACACAGGAUGUCCAGAUACAGAAAGAGAUUUUGCGGGUGACUGUGGGACAGUCAACCUAACUGACCCGUUUCAUCACUGUGACGCUUUGAGAAAGUUUACAAGGGAACAUAUGAACUGAAUAUGGGAAAGAUUUACCUCAAACUAGGUUUUUUUGAUGAUGCUAGCAUCCAGUCAAGUUUAUCUUUACGUUGAAACAAGGGAAACCCGUUUUGUAACUUUUUUGAUAAAAAUUUUAUUAAUUUAUUUCUCAUUUAAUCUCUACAUCAUGUUCACUGCUUUAGAUUUUGUUUUUUACGUCAUGAAAAAAGUGACAAAUUAUUGUUGAAUUUACAGCGGUUGAAAAGGUGUAAUUUCUAUUUUGCCCACUGGGGGUCUCUAUUGCUCUAUAACAGAAUUAAAAAUGGCAUAAAAA
Long non-coding RNA from Carassius gibelio (silver crucian carp), 1265 nucleotides. RefSeq lists it as uncharacterized. The transcript has 4 exons. The record is from RefSeq and is a predicted model, not a curated record. Lineage: Eukaryota; Metazoa; Chordata; Actinopteri; Cypriniformes; Cyprinidae.